AAACACUUUUCACUUUACGCGCUCCACAAUUUCUUUUCUCCUUGUUUUCUUCCCUGCUGCUACUGCUUCUCUGUCUUUCUCCAUCAGUAGAUCGCCAGCGUGAUUCAAGUUGCAGUCUCAACCUCACCAGCGUCGCCACCCAUCUGUCUCCGGUUCGGCGGGUUGAUCCAAUUUUAGACAUGGAAGCAGACCAAGGAGACGAUUACACUCACCUUCUUGUAUGGUGAAUGAAAUUAUUCCUUAGUCUCAUGUAAGAGGUUUUCUUAUAUCAUGUUUUUUUUUAAUAUUUUUUUUUUUGCAAAUGUUACCCAU
Long non-coding RNA from Gastrolobium bilobum, 312 nucleotides. RefSeq lists it as uncharacterized. The transcript has 3 exons. NCBI's taxonomy places the organism in Eukaryota, Viridiplantae, Streptophyta, Magnoliopsida, Fabales, Fabaceae. The record is from RefSeq and is a predicted model, not a curated record.